CAAUUUAGAAAGUCAUAUUCAUUUCCUUCCUAAUACAUUUAAACUGCUCCACAUCUUCCAUCUUUAACAUUCACACAGUUUCGGAGAAAAUAGCCGGCCAACCGCCGUACACCAUCGUUCCGCCACUAGUCCUUGUCGACGGUCGACCUCGUUACUCGCCACGCUUGCAGCCGUUGAAACCACGUCGACAACAUGGACACCGCAGCCACACAAGUCGAAUCCGCCGGUGAGUAUAAUCGUCGGCCGGAGAAUAAUUUUCAGUGCGAAGAUGUUGAUGAUGUGUACCCGGAUUAUGUUGAACAGAAGAUUGUGAAUGAUAGCAACUUGUGGAUGAUUGCAGAUUGUCGAUUAAUGUCUACCGGAGAGCAAUCGUGCUGAUAACGUGUUGUGAAACCACUGUGAAAUCUAUAUUGAAUCUUUAAUCUAUAUAUUCCAUAUGAUACAAAUGUGAUCCAUCUAAAUAACAACAUACAAUAGUAUAUAUAACGUACGUGUGUUAAUUGUCAAAACAUUUAUGAGAGGUUAACUACCAAGGCAGUUACAACAGUUAUGAUAGGUUAAAUGCCAAGGCAGUUACAAAGGGUGUUUUGUAUAUCUGUUUUAUGACAACUAGCACCAUUUGUAAUGAUUCGCACCUUUAAAAAAUAAAAUAACCAUUUAAAAAAAUAAAAAAUCAAUAAUUAACAUAACACCAUAAAGUCUUGAGAAAUCUUCUUCCCCCCAAAAUUUUCAGCAAAAUUCGUUCUCCCUCCCAAAGUUCCUCCUCGAUCCCCUGAACCCAAACCAAUCGGCGGCAGCCCUCACGGCUACAAACCCUAAUCGGAGCUUGAAUUGAUCGACAAAUAGAGGUGAUGUUGCAGUUGUUCCAGCUUUAGGCGGUUGUUCACUCACCACCAUUUGUUCGAUUUAUGAGUUCAGGAAGGGCUGGUUGCCUGAUUAGGGUUCCGACAACUCCGUGUUGAUCUAUCCUCAGGUAUCUCAACUUCUUCUCUUUUAGUUUCAAUUUCUUAUAUGUUCUAUAUAUCCUAUUAUUUUUAUCCAUAUCAUUCCCUAAAAGAAAAAAAAAAUCGGUAUCCAAAGAUUAGAUUGUAGCAAUUUUGAAGUAGAAGCUAAGUUCUUAUCUCUUUUGGAGGAUCGUCUGCAAGCGGUAAGCAACAAUCGACCUUAAACUUUCUGAUAUAUAAAGUUUGUAAGCACCGAUUUAAGCAUGGAAUCAUCGGUAAUAUUUUGAUUAAGGGGGUUGAACUAAAUAUACAGAACUUUGUCUCUGUACUUGAUUAAUAUAUUUUGGAAAGAGGUUUGAUGUAUAUUUUGGUGGAGGUAAUACAUCAAAAGAGUCAGAUGUGAAUUUGGGAGAAAGAAGAAGGUUUGGAAAUACUCAUGCCAUUUAAUUUAUAUGAAACGCAACUAUGGUUCAUGAACUCCAAUAGUUUUAUAAUUUCUUAGAAGUCUGACUUUGUGGAGAUAUUAUAUUUUCACCAAAUAAAGAUGAAUGAUUAAGUAACCUUAACAAGUUAUCAUCAUUGUAAGCUUACUAAUCCACGUGUUAAUGUUUUGUGCACCUCCUUGAUAAGCUUGCGUGUGUGUCUUUAAUGAAUUAACCAGAUUGCAUUGAUAGUUAUACUAAUUUGAUAAUGAUUAUUAACAAUUUAAAUGGUUAUUGAUGAAUGUUGCUGAUGCUAGCAGGCUAUAAGUGGCAACAUAGCAGUCAAAUGUUGAUCAAUUGACCAGAGGAGUUGAGCGGUCAAGAGGCGGGCAGCCAACAGUGCGUUGGGUGGUUGGGUAUCUUCACCGGCUCAUCUCCUCUUCUAUCACCGCUCGAAACAAAAGCCGGGAGUGGUGUACGAGUGGUGACCUCUUUUUCCUUUAUUGCCACAUGUACAAGAGGCCGUGCGCUCUCGCACACGGGUUGGCGCAAUACUUCGCCUCCGCAUAUCAUCAGCAGGAGCGCGGAUUAUUAUAUGGCGGCACCUACGUUACUGUGAUAGCCAUGUCGUUUGGCUAUCACCCAGAGACUGACCCGCUUUUACGCCCGACAAUACAGUCGAAGAGGAUAGGGAUGUUAUCGCUAUCCGGAAUGAAGAUUGUCAAAAGGUUCCCACCUGACAACCGGAAGCGUUUUAAGGGUUCGGACGGCCAGCCCUUCCAGUCGAAGGACCUGCCGGCACAGUUCGAACCGAUAGAUCCCCCAGCCGUGCCGGAGCAGGUGGUAGUGCAUGACUCAGAGAUGUACAUUCCGAACCCACCACAGCCGCGUGGAACACCCGGGGCGCCUCAGUUCCCGUGACAUGUUGGGCUCGGUCCUGCCCCUCACACACGGCGUAUCAGCAGCUACGUGAAGACGUUGACCAUCUACGUGAGGACGUUGACCGGCUGAAGUAUGUGAUGGGCUGGGUAGCUGAGGAGUUGCAGGAUCGACGACAGCGUGAUGGAUUACUUCCACGACCCUACAUCCCGGCUGCAGCAUGGCAUCAACAUUAUCAGCAGCAGUAGCAGCAGCAUCAACAGUAGUAUGAU
Helianthus annuus (common sunflower) is the source of this 2517-nucleotide long non-coding RNA. RefSeq lists it as uncharacterized. The transcript is spliced from 4 exons. Lineage: Eukaryota; Viridiplantae; Streptophyta; Magnoliopsida; Asterales; Asteraceae. The record is from RefSeq and is a predicted model, not a curated record.